Molecule: ribosomal RNA, 253 nt
Filed under: uncultured bacterium
Lineage: Bacteria
Description: partial 16S ribosomal RNA
Rfam family: Bacterial small subunit ribosomal RNA
Source: RNAcentral
UACGUAGGGUGCGAGCGUUAAUCGGAAUUACUGGGCGUAAAGCGUGCGCAGGCGGUUAUGCAAGACAGGUGUGAAAUCCCCGGGCUCAACCUGGGGACUGCAUUUGUGACUGCAUAGCUAGAGUACGGUAGAGGGGGAUGGAAUUCCGCGUGUAGCAGUGAAAUGCGUAGAUAUGCGGAGGAACACCGAUGGCGAAGGCAAUCCCCUGGACCUGUACUGACGCUCAUGCACGAAAGCGUGGGGAGCAAACAGG